CCCCCGGGGUGGGACACCCGACGAGUGCCCGAGCCUUGGAGCUCAGGAACACAGGUGGAGCCACGCGGUGCAGUCCCCCUGGGGCACAAUCCACUUGAGAAACAGAGAGAGACAGAGCACGAGUAGGGGAGAGGAGAAGAAGAG
Suricata suricatta (meerkat) is the source of this 144-nucleotide long non-coding RNA. RefSeq lists it as uncharacterized. NCBI's taxonomy places the organism in Eukaryota, Metazoa, Chordata, Mammalia, Carnivora, Herpestidae. The record is from RefSeq and is a predicted model, not a curated record. The transcript is spliced from 3 exons.